RNAcentral lists this ribosomal RNA (216 nucleotides) under Glomeromycotina sp. RNAcentral describes it as "partial small subunit ribosomal RNA". The stretch from base 87 to 216 matches the Rfam family "Eukaryotic small subunit ribosomal RNA", at positions 733 to 864 of the family's 1831-position model. Lineage: Eukaryota; Fungi; Glomeromycota. The record is from RNAcentral.
GGGUCAGUAGGUUGGUCGUGCCACCGGUACGUACUGGUCUCACUGAUUCCCCCUUCCUGAAGAACCGUAAUGCCGUUAAAUUGGUGUUGCGGGGAAACAGGACUGUUACUUUGAAAAAAUUAGAGUGUUUAAAGCAAGCUAACGCUUGAAUACAUUAGCAUGGAAUAAUGAAAUAGGACGAUCGAUCCUAUUUUGUUGGUUUCUAGGAUUGACGUA